This is a transfer RNA of Puccinia graminis f. sp. tritici, 90 nucleotides long. It matches the Rfam family "tRNA". From Rfam's summary of the family: Transfer RNA (tRNA) molecules are approximately 80 nucleotides in length. Their secondary structure includes four short double-helical elements and three loops (D, anti-codon, and T loops). The record is from Rfam. Lineage: Eukaryota; Fungi; Basidiomycota; Pucciniomycetes; Pucciniales; Pucciniaceae.
GGCACUGUAGCUCAGUUGGUAGAGCACAUGCUUAACAUCGUCAUCACUGUUGUCCGCAUGUUGUCGUCGGUUCGAGCCCGGCCAGAGUCA